GGCAGCUCCUCAGUUACUUCUCUGUUCCUCUAACUCAGUCAGGAGAAUCAGCUCUAAGUCAGUGCUGGAGGGAUCACUUUCAUUUUAAGCAGGUUUUCAGUGCAGGGAGGCAUUUCUUCUCCUCUUAUCUGGUCCCCUUCCUUCUCAGCCCCAGGGAAGAAGGCAUGCUGUGGGCUCUAGCCCUACUUCUAGCCAUUCUGCCUCCUGGCAGUCAAACAUCUUCCAGUUUGGAAGGGAGAAUGAUGUCAGUAACAAGUUCACCUGGGUCAUAUGUGUCAAUCUCUUGUGAUUUUGCAAGUACCUACAUCCACUGGUACCAAUUCAAGGAAGGGGAGGCCCCACAACGCCUACUCUACUAUGAUUUUAUAAAUUCCAAGGUUGUACGUGACUCAGGAAUCACUUGGAUAAAAUAUAGUGCUUAUAAAGGUGCAGAUGGGAGAUGUAAAUUAACAGUAAGGAAUGUGGAAGAAAGUGACUCUGCUGUGUAUUACUGUGCCCACUGGUCUGAUUAUGUUAAGAAGGUCUUUGGUGUUGGAACCAAACUUGUUGUCACAGAUAAAAGCUCUGAUGCAGACAUUUUCCCCAAGCCCACAAUUUUCCUUCCUUCAGUUGCUGAAAUAAAUCUCCAUAAGGCUGGGACACAUCUUUGUGUUCUUGAGAACUUUUUCCCUGAUGUUAUUAAGGUAUAUUGGAAAGAGAAAGGUGGUGAUAGGAUUCUGGAAUCCCAGCCCGGAAAUACCAUGAAGACUAAAGAUACAUACAUGAAGAUGAGCUGGCUCACCGUGACUGGAAAGUCAAUGGAUAAAGAGCACAGAUGUAUCAUCAAACAUGAGAAAAAUAAAGGAGGAGUUGAUCAAGAGAUUCUCUUUCCUGCAGUGAAUAAAGCUGUCACCACUAUUAAUCCCAAAGAAGCUGAUCUGGAAGUUGAAAAUGAUGCACUGAGGCUGCAGCUCACAUACACCUCUGCCUACUGGACCUACCUCCUCCUGCUGCUCAAGAGUGUGGUCUACUUGGCCAUCAUCACCUUCUGUCUGCUUAGAAGAACAGCUGUUGGUGGCAAUGGGAAGAGCUCCUAACAGAUGGUAGCAUAACACGGUCAUAUUAUCUUUAUAGUUUAUUUUCCUGAAAAGUUUCUGCUUAGGACUUAGCAGACUAGCAGCUAGGUUCAGGCUUCUCAGUUU
This is a non-coding RNA of Marmota monax (woodchuck), 1181 nucleotides long. Lineage: Eukaryota; Metazoa; Chordata; Mammalia; Rodentia; Sciuridae. The record is from the annotation of a RefSeq genome assembly.